Molecule: long non-coding RNA, 5730 nt
Filed under: Sus scrofa (pig)
Lineage: Eukaryota; Metazoa; Chordata; Mammalia; Artiodactyla; Suidae
Description: lncRNA (ENSSSCG00000054184.1)
Source: RNAcentral
CCUAAAAAAGCUGAAACAACAACAAAAAAGUAGAGUUACUCAUGGGGACCUGAGGUGUACUCAACACUCCUGGAACACAAAGUGAAUUUUCACAAGGAAAAGCUCAAGGAAAUGUCUUUAAAUCGUGCCCAUCAUGCCAGUCAUCAUGACAAACCUAUUUUUUAUUAUCGUUUAUACUGUGGUAAAAUAUAUACAACAGCAUUUACCACAUAAGCCAUUUUAUUUGUUUAUCUAGAAUCCAGAAUUUUAAAAAAAUGUUUAAAGAUUUUUCUUUUUUUAAACUUAAAUCAACUUAUUGAAGAUUUUUAUUUUUUCCAUUAUAGUUGAUUUACAGUGUUCUGUCCAUUUCUACCGUACAAAUAGUGACCCAAUCAUACAUAUAUACAUGUAUUCUUUUUCUCACAUUCUCCUCCAUCAUGUUCCAUCACAAGUGACUCGAUACCCCGUUCCCAGUGCUACACAGCAGGAUCUCAUUGCUUCUCCACUCCAAAUGCUGUAGUUUGCAUCCACUAACCCCAGACUCCCCCUCCAUCCCACUCCCUCCCUCCCUCACCCCUUGGCAACCACCAGUCUGUUCUCCAAGUCCAUGAGUUUCUUUUCUGUGGAAAGGUUCAUUUGUACCGUAUGUUAGAUUCCAGCUAUAAGUGAUAUCAUAUGGUAUUUGUCUUUCUCUUUCUGACUUACUUCACUUAGUAUGAGAGUCUCUAGUUCCAACCAUGUGGAUGCAAAUAUUUUUUCUAUUAUUGUUGAUUUACAAUGCACUGUCGAUUUCUGCUAUAAUGUGAGCCAUUUCAUUUGGUGACAUGUAGUACAUUCCUGAUAUCAGGCAACCACCAUCUCUAUCUCGUUCUGACGAUUUUCAUCACCCCCCAAAGAAAAUCCAGCGUCCAUUAAGCAGUCACUCCUUAUUUCCCUCUCUUUCCAGCUCCUGGCAACUACUAAUCUGCUUUCUGUCUCUAUGGAUUUGCUUAUUCUGGAUAUUUCAUAUCAGUGGAAUAUGUGAUCUUCGUGUCUGGCUUCUGUCACUUCGCAGCACAUUUUCAGGGUUCAUCUAAGUUGUCUUGCAUGCACGCAUGCUCUGUUCCUUUCUCCAGCUGAAAGACAUUCCAUUGUAGGGCUAUGCUCUGUUUUACUUAUCGCUCCGUCAAUUGGACGAGCCUAUUUUUAAGCUUCUCUUAUCCAAAAAGUAAGCAGUGUUUACCUGGGAACACCGGUAAAAAGUUAAGCAUUCCAAAAUGUUUGUCUUGGAGUAAUUUCAGAUUUACAAAAGUGUAUCAGGAUUGUACAAAUGCUAUAGGGGUAGAGUAGGAGAGUCUUAGAAGUCCCAGUGGGGGGCCAUAGACAAAGAGGGAAACCUAGGGGCCUUGGGGAGAACAGGGUCAGUUAAUAAUUGCACAAGAAGUGAAGCAGGCUUGCUGAACUAUAAAACCAUCAAGAAAACACAAGAUCUGCCUCAGGUCAUUACAUGAAAGAUAAAAGGAGCCCUGCGUUCAAGUUCAGCCAGAAAAGGAUCCUUAGAAGCAAGGACAGAAACUUUGGGGGAAGGUGACCUUCCAAAGUAGGAAACUCUCAUUAUAUGGAAACCUGAGAUGAUCCAACAAAGUUUAGUCUCUGUUACACCUUUUUGCUGAUCUGAAUAAGCACCAGGACUGUCCUAGUUUGACCUCAUAGGGCCAGAUACUCUCUUACCUGAUAACAAGGAGGAGCUAAUGAGGUAAGCCUGGCAUCCCCCAGAAGAACGAGGAAGAAGGGGGGCUUUUCCCUCCCCCCACUUUCCUAAUCCUCAGGGCAGAACCUCCCUGCCUGCCUGCUUGUAUCCCUCACAAGCAUCAAUACAUCUAUUUCCUGCCUAUCACUUUGUCUCUCACUGAAUUCCUUCUGCACUGAGCCGCAAAGAACCUGAGCCUCAGUGAGUCCAGACGCCAGGUGAGGGAUUCUAAUUUGAAUACCAUGGGUUCCAUCCCAAUCUGGGUUUUAUCUGGGUUCGAGUCGAAGGUGUGUCCAUUUUGCAGACACGCUCCGUAUUACACACCCUUUCCUGCCUCCUGUUCCCUCCGUCGUUAAUAGCUGACAUCACCAGGUCCAUUGAUUACAACUCAGAAACAGACGCUGGCACUUUGCUCUUAACUAAAUUCCAGACUUCAUUUGGAUCUCGCCCGUUUUCUGUUAAUGCCCUCUUUUUUGUGCAGUAUCCAAUCCAGGGUACCACUGAGGCAGAAUAUUAACGCAGGCAGUCAGUGUGGGAGCAUGGGCUCCGGUGCAUUCUUUGCUAUGGCCCCUGAUUAACAUGUGUGGCUUAAGGGCUCUAGGGAGCAACAUCCCCUCAGGCCUUGUUUACUGUAGGGAGUGUAUCUACACCCAGAGGGACUUUCAUCCCUAAUCCCCCGUGACUCAGUUUACGGGAAGAAAAGGGCGAAGAAACUAUGAGACUGAGGGGACAUUUCCACCCCUAAGACCCUAUUGGACAAGGACGGAUAUGGGCAAUUGAACAAGGCCAACGUGAGAAAACCACAGUUUUCUGGACCCCACGUUGGUACCCCCCCUCCCAGCUUUAAGGAAAAAAAAAAACCUUAUAGGACAAUAGAGAAAGGAGGGCUCUUCUCUCCCCUCCCGGCAGCCCUGGGAGCUCUCCGCUUUCCUUUAAUAAAGACUUUGCUUGCUUGCUGCCUGUGUGUUCACGGACUCCAUUCUUCGACAGCUGUGAACAAGAACCUGGAUUCUGGUAUCAUCUUUCCAGUAUCACCACAUUGCAUUUAAUUGUCAUGAGUCCCCAGUCCCCGAUGGUCUGUGACACUUUUUCACUCUUUAUUUUUAUGACCCUGAUAGUCUUGCGUCUACAGGCCAGGUAUCCUGCAGAGAGUUCCCAGGUUUACUGGAUGCUUUUUUUCAUGAUUACAUUGGAGGGGUUUUUUUGGAAGGUGUGGGGUGGGGCUUGUUAUCCAGAUAAAUUUCCACUGGGAAUAACUUUACCUAUAAAGAUGUGACCCCUUAGGAGUUUAAAGAGGGCAUUAACUUGUCUUUUUCUUCUUUCAAAUGCUUUUUUUUUUUUUUUUUUUUUUUUUGGUCUUUUUAGGGCUGCACCUGCCACAUAUGGAAGUUCCCAGCCUAGGGGUCGAAUCGGAGCUACAGAUGCCGGCCUACACCACAGCCAGGCAGGAUCCGAGCCGCUGUCUGUGACCUACACCACAGCUCACAGCAGUGCUAGAUCCUUUAACCCACGGAGUGAGGCCAGGGAUCAAACCUGGCCUCAUGGAUACUAGUCGGGUUCAUUAACCACUGAGCCACUCUCGACGGGAACUCCUGAGUGAUUGCAGAUGCUAUCCAGUUUACCUCCUCACAGGCUCUGCCGAUAGUUAGAGCCCAUUUUACACGUGCCUUGUGAGUGGCAGGGAGCAGAUUCUGUCCCAGAAGCUGAUACCAUGAUCUGUCGGAGACUCCGCAGGCACAUCGCUGACGGGCUUGUUGACAAAUUGGUUUGGGCUGCUAACAAAUUGGUUGGGCCAAGGGCAUGUUCAACUGUACCCUCAGUUCCCCCGCGGAAGAGUCUCAAUAUCAUCUAAUUAGGUAACAUGGUAACUGGGCAACCAUUACUUAUAAUAGACAUGGAGUUGUAAAUUUUUCUACUUAAUUAAGAACUGCUCCCUUCUUAUUAGAGAAAAGCUUAUCAUAGGUUAGUAAAUUUAUUGGGAACACUUAACUUGAGCUAAUUAAGCUGUUUGAACUCAAGGAAGGGCAUUCAUUAAUAAUCUAGCCCAAGCAGUUAAGGGCAAUUAGGGAAACAGCUGGGCUUUAUCUCACUGAUAAAGGAUGGUUAAUAGAGAUAUUUACAGCUGUUAUAAACUUCCCCAAAGCAAUAUCCUCUUCAAAAGCUGGCAUUAGUUAAGAACACAGAAGAAGGAACUCAAUUUAAAAGGAUGGAGUUGGGGCUCCCAGCCCCAAGCAGGAGGGGUAGAAGGAAGGUGGAAUCCAGCUGCUGGCCCCAUUCACAGUCUGAUCUGUCAGCCACAGGUGUCUAGCCCCCACUGGAAUCUUGGCUGCCGGAGGAGCAAAGGGCAAGGAUUGGCCAUCUAUAUAUGCAGAGGUCCUCUUUUCUGAAAGCAAAAGGGAGAAAUGUGGUUUGAUAAAGUGUUUGCUUUUUUUCUCCCUGAUCUGUGGAUGUCUUUAUACAGAACGUCUCACAGAGUUCCCCUUUUUAAAUGACAUUGACUUAACAUUCUUCUUUUCAACUGAAGUCUAAGGCAUUGACUCUUGUGUAAAGCCCACAUCAGGAUUUGUCUGCCAUCGCCUCCCGGUGUUGUUUAACUUGUUCUUCUGUUCCUUGCAUUUCCUGGAAACUAGAAGUUUCCUUUGGAGCCUUGAGUAGAUUGAAGUGAAACAAGAUCUGUGAAAGCAAUGCCAUGUAUUCCACAUCAUGUGAGGCCAGAAGGGCAUAAAUGUCUCUUUGUUCCUCUCUUGGCGAAGCUGCUCUUGAGCCCUGGGCUAAAGAGCUAACUCCAAACCUCUCCCUCAUAAAAGUACAUUUCCUCCUCUGGAACUGGUACCCAAUAUAUGGGCUGCUCCCUGGCACCCCCCCCUUUUUUUUUUUGCUUUGAAGGGCUGCAACCCUGGCGUAUGGAAGUUCCCAGGCUAGGGGUGGAAUUGGAGCUACAGCAGCAGGCCUACACCACAGCCACAGCAACGUGGGAUCCAAGCUGUGUCUGUGAACUACACCACAGCUCACAGCAAUGCUGGGUUCUUAGCCCACUGAGUGAGGCCAGGCACUGAACCUGCAUCCUCAUGGAUACUAGUUGGGUUCAUUACCAAUGAACUCUGGGCUGCUCCCUUUAUCUACAAUGCUUCUCCCAUUGUGAGGCGACCAUUGACUGAAACUGCCCACCUUAGCCAGGCACGAUCAUAUCUGUUUGCAUGAGCUGUUUCAUGACAGGAGGCCCUGAUUCGUAACAGGGUGCAGCCCUGAAGACUAACCAGGAGGAUGUGGGAGGGGCCAAUAGGAGGGAGGAGAUGACCAACCUCCCAGGAUCCUUAGCGCUGGAAUCCAUCUUGGCUGAGAAGUACCUGUACCUCCAAAGGGGUCCUGGGCCAGACCAAGUAAGGGCUAAGCAAGAUGACUGGCCAGAGACUACCCAGAAACCAACCCCCUUUCCAUAAAACCCGAGGCUUCUGAGUCACGUGGCAGAGCAGUUCUCCUGAGUUCUCUCACCCUGUGGCUCUCCACCCGGGCUCCCCUUCCCAAUAAAAUCUCUUCCUCUGUCAGCACAUGUGUCUCCUCGGAUAGUUCAUUUCCCAGUGUUAGGCAAGAGCCCGCGCUCAAGUCCUGGAAGGGGCCCCCUUCCGGCAACUCCAUGGCUUCCCUGUGCUUGGUGUGUUCUCAUCAUUCUGGCCUCUAUUCAAGUGUCACCUUCUCUCACUGGGGGCUAGACAUCUGCUCUUGGGUGACCUGCAAGGCCUUGUGUGCUCUGGCCUUGGCUGACUCUUGAACUCAUCUUAAAAAAAAAAAAAAAAGUUCCUCUCAUGGUUCAGCAGGAAUGAACUGGACUAGUAUCCCUGAGGAUGUGGAUUCGAUCCCUGGCCUCACUUAGUGGGUUAAGCAUCUGGUGUUGCCAUGAGCUCUGGAGUAGGUUGCAGAUCCGGCUUGGAUCCCGAGUGGCUGUGGCUGUGGCUGUGGCCAGCAGCUCUGAUUCGAUCCCUAGCCUGAGAACUUCAAUAUGCUGCAGGUGUGACCCUAAAAAG